Molecule: ribosomal RNA, 467 nt
Filed under: uncultured bacterium
Lineage: Bacteria
Description: partial 16S ribosomal RNA
Rfam family: Bacterial small subunit ribosomal RNA
Source: RNAcentral
GACGAACGCUGGCGGCGUGCUUAACACAUGCAAGUCGAACGGAAAGGCCUCUUUCGGGGGGUACUCGAGUGGCGAACGGGUGAGUAACACGUUAGUAACCUGCCCUUGACUUUGGGAUAACUUCUGGUAACUGGGGCUAAUACCGGAUAGGAGCUCCUUCUGCAUGGUGGGGGUUGGAGAGUUUCGGCGGUUGGGGAUGGACUCGCGGCUUAUCAGCUUGUUGGUGGGGUAGUGGCUUACCAAGGCUUUGACGGGUAGCCGGCCUGAGAGGGUGACCGGCCACAUUGGGACUGAGAUACGGCCAAGACUCCGACGGGAGGCAGAAGUGGGGAAUAUUGCAAAAUGGGUGGAAGCCUGAUGCAGCAACGCCGGGGGCGGGAUGACGGCCUUCGGGUUGUAAACCGCUUUCGCUCAUGACGAAGCUUUGUGUGACGGUAGUGGGUAAAGAAGCACCGGCUAACUACGUG